Megalopta genalis is the source of this 1217-nucleotide non-coding RNA. NCBI's taxonomy places the organism in Eukaryota, Metazoa, Arthropoda, Insecta, Hymenoptera, Halictidae. The record is from RefSeq and is a predicted model, not a curated record.
UUAAAACCGAAACGACGCUAUAUAAACAGCCGCGGAAACGAUAUAAUCACGUGACGUAAGUGGGAGUGCGUUGAAUUACGCACGGCCCAGAAAUUAUACGAGCGAGUAGUCAGCAAACGAGUGCAGUCCCUGCGACAGGCCGUUCACACCGAUCCACCGCACGACUCUGCUGUUGGCAGAAAUCGAGAAAUUGUUUGGCCGAUUUUGAACUAAUUGUUUCGUGGUAUUAUCAAUCGAUAAGUGAACUACAUAAACAAAUCUGCGCAUGCGAUAAAUGCACAAAGAUCCGCGGUCUACUAACAAGAUUAGGUCGUGUCCGAUUUUGGCUAUCGUAGGAUAAACCCGUGUCGAUCGAGCGAUCCCCGAAUGGAAGGUUUCAAGCGAUUGAUGCUGACAGAAGAGGAAAAAGUUCGGUGUCAACCGAGGAAGACUUAUUUUCGUCGGUUAUCGCGAGCAGACACGGCUUUCUGGUCGUUUUCACGAUAACUUCGUAUCUUAAUACGGUUCGAGUGCGCAAUUAUUUAUGCCUCUCUUAAAUAAGAUUGCGUAUCGAAACGUCAGUCCUCGGGAGAGACGCAGCACAUUGUUUCCAACCGGCUGUAUAUCCGGUAUCGAUGUGUGCACGCGCGUACUUGCUACUUACACACGGCGAGGGAUGUUCCGCGAAGAGGAUUUGCGUAUUAGAGGACGCUCGCCAAGGAUCAUCGAGGGUUCCUUUCGUUGCGACCCCCGUUUCCGAGAACAGUUGCCACGACGUGGCGCGAUUCAACGCUCGAGCACUCGUCUAGGUCGCACAUCUAUCGGACUCGCUUUUCCUUGAAUCUUUCGUCUAUUUACAUACGAAGUGCGCGCGAGAUGCUAAAGGUUACGCGAAUAUCAGAUACCGAUCGGCCGUCUGCCUGGUCUACGCGUUGCUCAGUGUGGCCGAACCGAAGAAUACGAUAAACUGUAAGCGAAAAUGGACAAUUUGAGAAGAGGAGGUACGAUUAUUCGGAGCACACGGCUCGUUUCUGUAGUUGCCGAUUAUUAUCGAUAACUAGAAAAAACGAGCUUCUCUUCCUAAAUUGUUCAUUUUUGCUUACAGGGCGAUCUUACAGGACAAGCUAAAGGACAAUUUUGGAAAGAAUUUACUGUAUUGGACAAAAAUCGAUAUACAUAAUCUCAGAAAUGUUCAAAUAUCGAUACGCAUUUACAAAAUAUAAAUUCAGAUUCAUUUA